GAUGAAGAACGUAGUGAAAUGCGAUAAGUAAUGUGAAUUGCAGAAUUCAGUGAAUCAUCGAAUCUUUGAACGCACAUUGCGCCCCUUGGUAUUCCGGGGGGCAUGCCUGUUCGAGCGUCAUUUCAACCCUCAAGCUCUGCUUGGUAUUGGGCUCCGUCCUCCUCGGACGCGCCUCAAAGACCUCGGCGGUGGCGUCUUGCCUCAAGCGUAGUAGAAACACCUCGCUUUGGAGUGCAUGGCGUCGCCCGCCGGACGAAACCUUUUGUAUUUUCUCAAGGUUGACCUCGGAUCAGGUAGGGAUACCCGCUGAACUUAAGCAUAUCAAUAAGCGGAGGA
Molecule: unclassified non-coding RNA, 336 nt
Filed under: soil metagenome
Description: partial contains 5.8S ribosomal RNA, internal transcribed spacer 2, and large subunit ribosomal RNA
Rfam family: 5.8S ribosomal RNA (bases 1-120)
Source: RNAcentral